CCGCAAACCAGUUCGCCCCCCAAAUCCGACCGCCGCUCAAGCCCCACGCCGCGCCACCGGCCGCCACCGCCGCCGCGGACAGCCGCGAUGCCGAAGAAGAUGGGCGUCAACUCCAAGGCGGAGGCGGCCCGCGAGCGCCGCUCCGUCGCGGAGGCCGACCGCCGGGACCGCGUCGAGCGCGCCAAGGAGGAGGAGUACUGGCGCGAGGCCGAGGGCCCCAAGUCCCGCGCCGCGCGCCGCCGGGAGGAGG
This 250-nucleotide unclassified non-coding RNA is filed under the name Hevea brasiliensis (rubber tree). Lineage: Eukaryota; Viridiplantae; Streptophyta; Magnoliopsida; Malpighiales; Euphorbiaceae. The record is from RNAcentral.